UAGAUGUCCUGACCGACUUGCCAAAACUAUAGUUUGUUAACAAGAAAUUUGUGGAGUGGUUGAAAAACAAGUAAGGUAUCAAGGGACCAUCCUCUCAGUCACCAGUGCCAUAUGUUUGGUAAUGGUCCAGCCAGGGUAUAUGAGGUCAUCUUCUGAAUGGAAUGUAGGUACCUCGUAUCUGAAAAGUCUUAAUCUGAAAAGUUUUCAUUUGAAAACAGGGUCCCUACCAAAUGUGUUCCUGACAUGGAUGUAAUGUUUGUUGUUGUCUGGCGCCCUCCACUGUAUGAAGUAGGCUAAGUAGGUUACUGUAUGUCCAAAUUCACAGAUAAGUCACUCUCAGAACCAUCUCUGGUAUGUCUCGAGAGCAUAUCCAAAUGCACAAAACUAGUAGAAAGUAUUUACUACUGUCAUCAUUCUAAUAGCAUUGUUUGGAAAGUCACUCUGCACGGGUCCCACCUGGCUCAGAUCUGUACUCACAGAGAUCAUUAAACGUGGCCUAGCCCUAGUGUGAAUGGCCUCUUAUUUGCCAAUCAAUCUGGCAGAACCCUAUUGCUGCCCUGUACAGUAUCUAGAAAAGCCAAGCAGAGGUGGUUCUUCAAGAAAGAUAGUCAUACGAAACAGGAACCCAUUUCGACUCUGUUAAAAAAUGGAACCGUGGAAAGGGAGAGCGAGGACCCACAGAACAGGUUUUUCCUUUGAUGAAGAUGGAGCCCUGCAGAACCUCAAUCUGCAGCCCGGGGAUUCUGGAGAGAACCUGUGUAAUGGGGAAACGGCAGCUAAAGUAACAGUGUUGACAGAUCACCUCAAAAUCCAGAGUACCACUGCUGUUAUGAAAACAGGUAACACACAGCAACACUAUGCAAUUCUUAUCACAAGUAUAAAAAUAACACCAAAAUCUAGGGUUUUAACUUUGUGCUGUGAAAGUAAAUUCUAUGACCUAUAUUCUUCACCUAUUUUCAGAUGUUGUUGGGAGAGAGAACAAAGAGACAGGCCCUACAAAUGGUAGGUGGUCCAUGGACAUUCAGACACAAAUUAUACUGACUAAAAAUGAUUUCAAAUUGCGGUUUUUGCUCUUUGUGGUGAAACUAAAAUGGCAGUGUGUGUUGGUCAAAAUUGAGGGUCUUGAAAAACAAGAACAUAAGUGCCACCCAGCUUUAUGUUUGCCGUUAGCAACCCUCCGUAAAACUCUGUUACAUUAUGUACCUCUGAUGUUGUUUGUACAAGCAUUAGGUCCAUAUUAAGAUAUUACAUUGGCCUAUGUGGUCAUGCAACAACCUUUUUACAAACAUGUGACAUGAUUGCUGUAUUUCCUAUAGUGACAGGACACGAGCAGGAAGGAGCUCCAGACUAGGUGCUUGUCAAAUCUAGGUAAAGAACACUGUCUAAUUGUUUGCUAACAGAAAAGUCCCAAAAGUAGGGUUUGUGUGCAUUCUCCCAACAAGUAUUGCUCUCAUUGAAAACAAAUGAUUGUUUCAUAUUUUGUCUUAUAGGAUCUAUGAUUACACAAGGUGAUGGGGAAGGAGUGAGUACAAAUGAAUACAUCUCACUGUAAACUGAAAGUAUUGCUGAAAUGAAUGUUUGUGUCUCAGGGCCCUCUCAUGUGGAAGACACUGAGGUUCAUUUUGCAUCUCUGGGUCGGCAGAACUGGAGGGAAAGAUUGAGGGUACAGGGAGACCUGCAUCACGUCAUCUAUUCCGCUGUGGUCACUGCUAGACCAGCAUUCCAGGGUUUGAAGAGAAUAACUCAUUGAUUAACCAUACAGUUCGUAUUUGACUAGUGUUGCACAGGUGACAUCUUCCUGGGCCAAUCCUUGCACUCCCUGAGCAGUGGGGCGGGCCAUACCAGUGUGCUUCAGACUGCCGUAUUGCAGACCCACUUCCUGUGAAAAACAUAUCCAUCAUAAUUAGAGAUGAAAUAUUACCAUCAUGCCAUCCAAACCUCUCGGGCGUACAUUUACAGUUAGAUAAUGUUUAGACCUAACUGUUAUGACUCAAUCAUUUACAGAAGUACUUUUACCUUGAGACUUGAAUUCCUGUUCACACAGGUGUUGCACAAACAUGUUGUUUUACCUGAAAGAGGGAACAAUUUAGUUUUGAAGGGACAAUCUGCAGUUCAAACGGUAAGAAAAAGGUAACCCCACCACUGCUUUGGUAAAUAGGUGAGCAAUGGGUCUUGAGAGAUGGAACCACUCUCAAAUUCAUAGGCAGAGCUACGGAUGCAAGGACUGACCAUCCAUGAGAUCAAAUUAUAGUUUUAAUUGUGUUUUGAGGACAUACAGUGUUUGUUACAAUUACAGUGUUUAUAAACAUUGGAGUUAAACAAUCUUAUAUUUGGAGUUUUGAUGGGGUAAGACAGUUGAACUAAGCUCAUGAGGCAUUUAUAUGUGAUAUUCUUCAAGCAUCAAUGGGUACAAAUUAUUAUUAUUCAUUUGAAAGUCAACAUAAUGCAUGAAUCAACUGCAGAUUUGCAAUAGACUAACUUUGGUUUUGGAGCAUAAUGUCUCUUUAAGUAAACUUGUCAAACUUCAGAUACGUUCAAAGUAUUAACUGUUUGAUUGUGUUUACAUUUACAAUUCAACCAUAACAAGAAUGGGGAUUACCAAGAUUUGUACAUUAUCUUUCUAUGUUUACAAUACACUGUCUUACUUGCUUUUCUUGUCACUGCAACAGAAAGUGAAUGUACAGUUAAAAUGACACUCCAAGGCAAGGUCUAUGUAUAGAAAGUACAAGAGCAGACACCGUUGUGCUGAUCACUCACGGGAAGGAUGUUUCUGCUCUCUGUGAAGUCAUUUUUCAUACAGAUUGAUACAUUUUCUGCCUUCUUGCUCUCACUAUGCCAAACGUAAAUCUCAUCUUGGAGGCCCUGUCUACUGUCUCGGGUUGCAAGGUGGAAUCAGCCACCACGGGAACAAUUUCGCUAACACCACAGGACUUUGUCAAUGUGGUCGCACUAAAGGAGUUGGAAUACCCACGUUUGUAGACAUUUUCUUCACCACGUGCCUUAGCUUUACCAGAUGCUUUUCCACUCCACAAACCACUGUGUCUGUGAACGUGAAUGAGUUCCUUGAUUCUAGGUAUGACUACGACUUUACAAAUGUUAAGGAUUGGGAAACAAUGUUUACUUGGGGGAAAGGAGCUGUAUGCCAGACACUGUGGCUGGAACCGCAUUGCCCUGAAGGUUUUUAACAAAUACAGGGAUGGAGAUGGAUGGUUGGGGACCGGAGACGAGGCUUGGCCAGUGUCCUUCUACAGACCUGCUAUGGACGGAUCCCAGGGCAUCAUCAGGAAUGAUGGAGCUGGUGCUACUUUAGGAAGAGGAGUCUACUCAACACCGGACAUUAACAUAGCUGAGUAGUUCUCUAAGAGAUUCACGUCCAAAGUAGAUAACAAAACCUACAAGGUGGUGCUACAGAAUAGGAUCAACCCCCAGGAAAGGAGAGUUACUGACCGGUCUAUGUGCCUGAGGAAUCAUCUCCGGUUCAAGAGAACUAUUGUGGAAAACUCCACCUGUCCUUAUGGUCUGCUGCUUAAGGAAGUGUUGUAAUCCAUUAAGACAGUGUUUGAAAGAUAAGUAAAUAGGUUGAUCAGAAAAUGAAGAGAUGUAUCAUCAGAUCAAUUUAACUAGGCAGUCAGUUAAGAACAAAUUCUUAUUUUCAAUGACGACCUAGGAACAGUGGGUUAACUGCCUUUACAGAUUUUUACCUUGUCAGCUCAGGGAUUAAGUAACCAGGUUUAUUUGUUAUAGUCAUAAGAUUAACAUAAGAUUGAGUUUUUAUCCAGUGUAGAUAUAGCCUUUACCUGAUAGGCCACUAUUAUGGAUGUGUGUUCAAGGGUAAUAAAAUGA
Oncorhynchus tshawytscha (Chinook salmon) is the source of this 3843-nucleotide long non-coding RNA. RefSeq lists it as uncharacterized. The transcript is spliced from 3 exons. The record is from RefSeq and is a predicted model, not a curated record. Lineage: Eukaryota; Metazoa; Chordata; Actinopteri; Salmoniformes; Salmonidae.